CCCUGCUCGGAGGAGGCCCCGUGGCCCUCCUGGGCCCCCUCGGAGGUUAGCUGUGUAAUUACUGCAUCCAUACAAAUACAGAUUCAUCAUUUCACACUCUGAGCCCCUGAUGAGCUUGGCUGAGCUGAAAGUGAGGAAGGGAGGUGCAUGUGCGCGGGCAUGUGUGCGUGUGUGAGUCCUAGUGAUUUAAUUACAGUGCUUAAAGCCACUCUGGCUAAGUGAUGCUCCUUUUCGUCUCUUUCUAGCACCAGGAGGGCUUUACUCCUGAACCUCAAAGCUGUUUUCCUAAACACACAUUAGGACGCGCUCCCGCCGCCGCUGCGUGUGUGUGCGUCACGCGCGGAGGAGAGCGGAUGCUUCAUCUCCAUGGCAUUUUAAAUGGCAUUCACGGAGGGCGGCUUCGUCCUCAUUGCCAAGGUGAGGGCUGCGGCUUAAAAGCUUUCCAUCAUUGGCUGAAGAUGGAAGAAAAAGACAAUGUUGAACAAAAUUCCUGCGGAGAAAAAGCCCAUUUUCUCCUCCUGCUCAUUACAGAAAGACUUGGUGGGGGGGCUUUUCUCCUGGCCAUGGAUCUGAUUGUUUUCUAAACAGAUUAUUAACUCUUUUGUUAGAGUCGGGGUCACUUUAAUGCUUCUCAGGCUCCAUUAGCAUUGCUUCAAAGAACACACACACGCAGACUGCUAUAGGAUUUGCAGUUUUUGGUCUUUGUUGUUGGGAGUGGAAUGAUACAGUUGUAAUGCUGUGAAAGACAAUACUUGAAUUGAAAGGGGGGUGGGGGGGGGGGGGGGGGGUUGCAGGCACUGCUGAGCAUGUGUGUGGUUUGUGAUGAAAAGGGCGUCUCAUACAGACCAGGGAGCUUAAUGCAGUAAUGCUGACUUCAAUGGACACCCCAAUGAAAGCGGAAUUAAACAGACCUUUCCACCAAAAUCCAGACAAACCCUGAUCUUCUCCACCUCCGUCAAACCAACAGGGUCAUUGGAAAACAUAAAACCACAAAAUAGUCCCCCUAUUUUUGAUUUGUAGCAUUUGCUUCCUGCUCAUCAAACCAGAGACAAUCAAAGGAAAAAUGACCCCCCUUUGGGAAAAGUUCAGGUCAAAGCAAUCAGAAGUCUUUGCUCUUGGCUCAGAUUGACCCAUUGAAUUUAAAAGACAACUGGACUGAGCGGCUGUAACGUCAUCCUGAGCUCCUGAGAUUCAGUUUUCCAUUUUUCUGCUAUAUGGAUGUCGCCAUUCAAUAAUGCAAAGUAGUUUUCUAUUCUCUAUUGACAUUCAAUUUGCAAUACAAGCUGCAACAGAUGCCGCCGCAGUCAUAAACAUAGAAGAUACUUCAUAAGCUGAUAGCUUCUUCUCUUCCUUAACCUCCCAUGUCAAAUGAUUCUAUUAGUGGGUUGAGUAUUUAUUAUACUUUUAUCAGCCAACCGGAAGGAAGUGAAGGUGGAGCUUAGCGUAUUCAGGCACAAA
This 1458-nucleotide long non-coding RNA is filed under the name Oryzias sinensis (Chinese medaka). Its description in RNAcentral is "lncRNA (ENSOSIG00000001100.1)". Lineage: Eukaryota; Metazoa; Chordata; Actinopteri; Beloniformes; Adrianichthyidae. The record is from RNAcentral.